UAUAUAUAUAUAUAUGUCAAGACCUAAUUAUACUAGCUAGCUGGCUACUUCGAUUGCAAGUCCUUUCCAUGCUUUUCCACAGCUUUCUUGAACUUCUUCUGCUUGAAUUUUGAUCUCCAGAAAUCAUAUGGUAAAUAAGUUCAAGAAAACUGUGGGAAAACAUGGUAAUUCUGGACUUUUUACUGCAAUCUCAGAAGGCCCCCUCUCCUGUGCUGCCGCAGAUUGCUCCAUUUUUCACUUCUCCACCGAUCUCCAUGAAGUGGAGGGAUGUUGAUGAAGCCGACCGUUGUUAGAAGGUUUAGCAAUACGUAUAUGUUAUUUGGAGUAUUUAGUAUUUACCAUGGUAAUUAAAUCACUGUUAAUUAGUUACCAGUUACCACUACUGUUGGAAAUGCUCUUUAAUUCUUAAAAAUCUUUUUACUGCUUGCUUUCUGAGAGGUGCAUGUGGUUAGUGAGAAUGGUGAAAAGAUAAACUGAAAGAUGUAGCAGAGAAGAUUCCAUUCGCUUCCCCCUUCUUUAUCAUCAAUAAUUGACAUUUCAUCGUU
Long non-coding RNA from Salvia miltiorrhiza (redroot sage), 545 nucleotides. RefSeq lists it as uncharacterized. The transcript is spliced from 2 exons. The record is from RefSeq and is a predicted model, not a curated record. Lineage: Eukaryota; Viridiplantae; Streptophyta; Magnoliopsida; Lamiales; Lamiaceae.